UUAACUGUCUCAACCAAAACAAUACCACUGCAUAUCUAAAAGUAUAGAACAGAAUAAAUCGCAUUAAAUUCGAAUGAACCAAAUUCUAUACAUAUUUAUCAUUGGCGACGGAAAAUUUCCAUCGCUAAAUUUGUCCUAAAUGAAAGAAAUUUUCGUUCAAAAUCCGAGCCCUAAUUCCCUUCCCGCUCAAAUCUCUCUAAAAUCCCAAUUUCGUAUCAAUACUCUCUCUCUCUCUACAAACCCUCAUCUCUCUGAACUCCCACCUUGCUCGCAUCCACGGUCACACCCUAAUGUUGUUGUUCCUCUUCUCCAUGUGUUCUUCCUCUUCUUCCAAAUUUCUCUUGCUGGUGAAAAUUUCUGUUGCUACGUUAGCUUCCCCAAUGACUUGAUUGAAACUUACCCUCUUGCGCCAAAAAUUUUGGUUUUCCGGCGAUAUACUCCCGCAUAUUGAUCGAUAACACCCUCUUCCUCCAUCGUAGGCCCUAAUUCCGUUUCUGCAACAUUGAGGCUCAUACGACUGGGGAAACGAAAUGGUUUAGAUGAUGGUUUAGCUACAUCAGCCUCUAAUUAGUAGUGGCUCCAGAGAAACGAAAUGGUUUAGAUGAUGCUUUAGACCGACUGGGAACUCCAUUAGUGAGAAAAAUUCCUCUGCGCAAUCUUCGAAUCAGCACCUUGAACGAGAGGGUUUUGGUUAUCACAAAACCAUAAGUUAUUUUUCCCUCUCUCCCAUCAUCUCCCUGGGUAUCUAGGUCUAGAACUAUCUCUUGGUCCUCUGGUCCCCAAUAGCUGAAACCCCAAAUACUAGUGCAUUAUUUUCCUCUCUCACUUCAAUUUCUUCUGGUUUUUGGUUAUUUGCUUCAUAACUUACAAUUAAAUCAUCACACAAGAGGAAUCCGUGGUGAAGGUGGAAGGAAUUUCAUCACUGCUCACUCAGAAGAUUGGGGUUUCACACCAGCAGAGAACGGAUAGCAAGGAGCUCUUAUAGAUCUCUUGAGGCCGUCUUCAGAUGGGCAGACAUCAAUCUCAUUGGAGUCGAGGAACCCAAGCAUAUUCCUAGAGGGGAAUUUAGAGGUAUUCCCACCCCUUCUUUUUUCAAACAACCUAUUGAAUCACAGUGGAUUUUGUAGUUCGAGCUUGAGAGGGUUUUUUUUUUGCUUUCAAGUUGUCAUUUGAUUUUCAUUUCUUUAAUGUGGUGAUGAAAGCGUUCAUAUCAAUCAAUAUAUAAAAUGAAGAUGAUAUAUAAGUUAUUAAUAAUUUUAAUUUGGAUGACCAUAUGCAUGCAUAAUAUGUUGUAUGACAGGGAUGCUUAUUAAAUUAAUUCUUUAUGGUUCAUUGAUCGACAGGUAUGCAUGGUAGGAUGUUAGAAAGCCUCAAUCAAGGAGCUUAUUUGAACUCUAGAAUUUACUAUUUAGUAAAAAUUAUAGUUUCAUGGAUUGGCUACUAAAUAUUGAACUUUCUUGAUUCUAUUCAUUUUCCCCAUCUUUUUGUGUUUGUAGGAGUUCUUUCCUUUAUAUAAAUACAAAAGGGUUAAUUUCCAUAUCAA
Macadamia integrifolia is the source of this 1543-nucleotide long non-coding RNA. RefSeq lists it as uncharacterized. The transcript has 2 exons. Lineage: Eukaryota; Viridiplantae; Streptophyta; Magnoliopsida; Proteales; Proteaceae. The record is from RefSeq and is a predicted model, not a curated record.